This is a long non-coding RNA of Homo sapiens (human), 586 nucleotides long. RefSeq lists it as uncharacterized. The record is from RefSeq and is a predicted model, not a curated record. The transcript is spliced from 2 exons. NCBI's taxonomy places the organism in Eukaryota, Metazoa, Chordata, Mammalia, Primates, Hominidae.
GGCUGCGAGGCCACAGGACCCCAGGGAACAUCAGGACGGAAGGCAAAGGGGCGGAAAGGAGUGCACAGAGGGAUAAGAAAAGAUCCAUAUUCUGUAUUUAUUUGAGCUGCCCAGCCCAGGCCUGCAGGAUAGGGCCCCACUCCAUCAAGGCUCCUGUUUCCUCCUGAGCCCGAGCAGAUGGUACCUUCUCUUAUAGCCUCCAUCCUUCCCAGAACACUCCAGGUACUAUUUUCUAUUUUCUGGGGGCAUUUGGCAUAGUUCACUGUUUCCUGAGAGGCAGCAUAGCUUAGCGGAGAGCUCUCAGGCUUUGGUGUCAGUGAUUUGUGGGUCUGACCCCUGAUCCACCAGGCGUGCUAUCUGAUCUUGGAUUUCUCAGCUCUUCUAGAACUGAGCCUCAGUUUCUUCAGCUAUAAAAUGGGGAAAAUAUCUGCCUCUCAGGAUUGAGGUUAAAUAAAGUGUGAACUCAGCACAGGCCUGGCACACAGUAGGUGCUUAGAUAUCUGUUUUCAAAUUUCUGUCUUAAUGUGUAGUUUGUAUCUUCUUUAUUAUUUCCACCUUAAGAAAUAAAAGUUUGGGAUGAAAAGUA